This 490-nucleotide ribosomal RNA is filed under the name uncultured bacterium. Its description in RNAcentral is "partial 16S ribosomal RNA". It matches the Rfam family "Bacterial small subunit ribosomal RNA", at positions 30 to 507 of the family's 1533-position model. The record is from RNAcentral.
AUUGAACGCUGGCGGCAGGCCUAACACAUGCAAGUCGAACGGUAACAGGAAGAAGCUUGCUUCUUUGCUGACGAGUGGCGGACGGGUGAGUAAUGUCUGGGAAACUGCCUGAUGGAGGGGGAUAACUACUGGAAACGGUAGCUAAUACCGCAUAACUUCGCAAGACCAAAAAGGGGGACCUUCGGGCCUCUUGCCAUCGGAUGUGCCCAGAUGGGAUUAGCUAGUAGGUGGGGUAACGGCUCACCUAGGCGACGAUCCCUAGCUGGUCUGAGAGGAUGACCAGCCACACUGGAACUGAGACACGGUCCAGACUCCUACGGGAGGCAGCAGUGGGGAAUAUUGCGCAAUGGGCGCAAGCCUGAUGCAGCAACGCCGCGUGUAUGAAGAAGGCCUUCGGGUUGUAAAGUACUUUCAGCGGGGAGGAAGGGAGUAAAGUUAAUCCCUUUGCUCAUUGACGUUACCCGAAGAAGAAGCAACGGCUAACUACGUG